Molecule: ribosomal RNA, 139 nt
Organism: Neurospora tetrasperma FGSC 2509
Lineage: Eukaryota; Fungi; Ascomycota; Sordariomycetes; Sordariales; Sordariaceae
Source: Rfam
ACAUACGACCAUAGAUGGUAGAAAACUCGGGAUCCCGUCCGCUCUCCCAUAGAUAAGCUACCAAUCGGAAGCAUGUCUAUGGGAGGAGGUUUUUACAGGGGUUUGGAUGACUCAGCUAAAAACGCCGCCGCCGUUUCUU